Molecule: transfer RNA, 72 nt
Filed under: bacterium
Lineage: Bacteria
Also listed under: 2 other names
Description: tRNA-Gly
Rfam family: tRNA
About the family: Transfer RNA (tRNA) molecules are approximately 80 nucleotides in length. Their secondary structure includes four short double-helical elements and three loops (D, anti-codon, and T loops).
Source: RNAcentral
GCGGGCGUAGCUCAGUGGUAGAGCGACGCGUUCCCAACGCGUAGGUCGCGAGUUCAAGCCUCGUCGCCCGCU